Molecule: RNA transcript, 1394 nt
Organism: Sapajus apella (tufted capuchin)
Lineage: Eukaryota; Metazoa; Chordata; Mammalia; Primates; Cebidae
Gene name: tubulin gamma-1 chain pseudogene
Exons: 1
Source: RefSeq, a predicted model, not a curated record
GUGCUGCGGGAGCGGCUGCAACACCUGUGCCUGAGGAGCGAUGCCGAGGGAAAUCAUCACCCUACAGUUGGGCCAGUGCAGCAAUCAGAUUGGGUUUGAGUUCUAGAAACAGCUGUGCACUGAGCAUGGUAUCAGCCCCGAGGGCAUCGUGGAGGAGUUCACCACCGAGGGCACUGACCGCAAGGAUGUCCUUUUCUACCAGGCAGACGACGAGCACUACAUCCCCCGGGCUGUGCUGCUGGACCUGGAGCCCCGGGUGAUCCACUCCAUCCUCAACUCCCCCUAUGCCAAGCUCUACAACCCAGAGAACAUCCACCUGUCGGAGCAUGGAGGAGGAGCUGGCAACAACUGGGCCAGUGGAUUCUCCCAGGGAGAGAAGAUCCACGAGGACGUUUUUGACAUCAUAGACCGGGAGGCAGAUGGUAGUGACAGUCUAGAGGGCUUUGUGCUGUGUCACUCCAUUGCUGGGGGGACAGGCUCUGGCCUGGGCUCCUACCUCUUAGAACGGCUGAAUGACAGGUAUCCAAAGAAACUGGUGCAGACAUACUCAGUGUUUCCCAACCAGAACGAGAUGAGCAACGUGGUGGUCCAGCCUUACAAUUCACUCCUCACACUCAAGGGGCUGACGCAGAACGCAGACUGUGGUGGUGCUAGACAACACAGCCCUGAACCGGAUUGCCACAGACCACCUGCACAUCCAGAACCCGUCCUUCUCCCAGAUCAACCAGCUGGUGUCCACCAUCAUGUCGGCCAGCACCACCAUCCUGCGCUACCCCGGCUACAUGAACAAUGACCUCAUUGGCCUCAUCGCCUCACUCAUCCCCACUCCGCGGCUCCACUUCCUCAUGACCGGCUAUACCCCACUCACUACGGACCAGUCAGUGGCCAGCGUGAGAAAGACCACGGUCCUGGAUGUCAUGAGGCGGCUCCUGCAGCCCAAGAAUGUGAUGGUGUCCACAGGCCGAGACCGCCAGACCAACCACUGCUACAUCGCCAUCCUCAACAUCAUCCAGGGAGAGGUGGACCCCACCCAGGUCCACAAGAGCCUGCAGAGAAUCCAGGAACGGAAGUUGGCCAACUUCAUCCCAUGGGGCCCCGCCAGCAUCCAGGUGGCCCUGUCAAGAAAGUCUCCCUACCUGCCCUCAGCCCACCGGGUCAGCGGGCUCAUGAUGGCCAACCACACCAGCAUCUCCUCGCUCUUUGAGAGAACCUGUCGCCAAUAUGACAAGUUGCGGAAGCGGCAGGCCUUCCUCCAGCAGUUCCGCAAGGAGGACAUGUUCAAGGAAAACUUUGAUGAGAUGGACACAUCCAGGGAGAUUGUGCAGCAGCUCAUUGAUGAGUACUAUGCAGCCACACGGCCAGACUACAUCUCCUGGGGCACCUAGGAGCAGUGA